RNAcentral lists this long non-coding RNA (409 nucleotides) under Populus trichocarpa (black cottonwood). RNAcentral's name for it is "long non-coding RNA (PTRI_LNC003071)". The record is from RNAcentral. Lineage: Eukaryota; Viridiplantae; Streptophyta; Magnoliopsida; Malpighiales; Salicaceae.
AUACUGAUUACGUGUAACCUCAUGGGCCAUAAUGCAUUUUUUUCCUUUGAAAAUGCAUAUCACUGUAAUACCGCAGUCUACUUGAACUUACAAUAGUAAAGAAACCUCUUACCACCAAAACAACUGCUCGCACAGUUGCGCUUGAACCUGUGAACAAGAGCUUACAUGUAAACCUCUUGGUUUGCAAGUUGCAACACAACCAUGGAGCAGGUUCAUGGCUAGGCUACUGUUACAUGGUGCACCGAAGCUGGCACGUAAUUGCUAGUGAAGCGAGCCAUGAGAAAAGGGUCCUCGCUCCUGACGGCGUCUCCAUGUCCCGUGCCCCAAAGAAUACAGUGACAGAAGGAGGUGUCUGAGAAAUCUCAAAGCUGUAUCUUGACUAGCAAUGGUGCCUUGUCCAGAAUGUUGA